RNAcentral lists this ribosomal RNA (238 nucleotides) under uncultured Syntrophaceae bacterium. Its description in RNAcentral is "partial 16S ribosomal RNA". It matches the Rfam family "Bacterial small subunit ribosomal RNA", at positions 1145 to 1382 of the family's 1533-position model. Lineage: Bacteria; Pseudomonadati; Thermodesulfobacteriota; Syntrophia; Syntrophales; Syntrophaceae. The record is from RNAcentral.
GAGACUGCCGGUGUUAAGCCGGAGGAAGGUGGGGAUGACGUCAAGUCCUCAUGGCCUUUAUGCCCAGGGCUACACACGUGCUACAAUGGGCGGUACAAAGAGAAGCAACCUCGCGAGGGUGAGCAAAUCUCAAAAAGCCGUUCUCAGUUCGGAUUGAAGUCUGCAACUCGACUUCAUGAAGUCGGAAUCGCUAGUAAUCGCGGAUCAGCAUGCCGCGGUGAAUACGUUCCCGGGCCUU